Macaca mulatta (Rhesus monkey) is the source of this 4428-nucleotide long non-coding RNA. Lineage: Eukaryota; Metazoa; Chordata; Mammalia; Primates; Cercopithecidae. The record is from Ensembl.
AUGCACAGAAGUCACGCCGAGCCACAGGAAGCUACAGCUGAGGGGAGGAGAGCCUCAUGCCAUGCAGGAAGGAAGGAGGCACGCUGGGCCUCCAGGGUCCCAGCCCUGGAGGAGACUAUCUGGUAUGCACACAGUGUGAGAAUCCGGAGGAAGGCGGAGGGCUGGGGAGCAAAGAUACUCAGGGAGCCUCCAGGCCUACUGGGGACACACCUCAGCCCACCCAGCCUGACUGGUGCCUUGAGCCCUACUAGCCAGGUAAACAAGCCCUUCCUGCUCUCUGAUAUCUCCAGUGGAUCGAUAGGUACUCCUUGGGCAGGCUGGGCCUUGUAGACUGCUGAUUAGCUUUCCCUUUCACAGAACAAGAUUUCCCUUCUGGGGACCACUGUUCCACCCAAGCACAGACUGGCUUUGCAACCAGACUCUUCCCCAGGCAGGAUGUGGGAGGGGAACCUGGCCUGGGGCCAGAUGAUGGCCACCUCCCCAGCCACCUGCAGGUUCCUACCCAACCAGGGGUUAGCAUCUCAUACAUUGUUUAUGAAGCUUUUGUCUUGGGCUCAAGGUGAGCCAGGGAAUCAGAGAGAGAAAUAAAUAAAUAAAUAAUUCUAAGCAGAGCUGAGCUUAGGGACAGGAGGGAGGGCUGCAGGGGUUGUUUAUCUUGGGGGCUUGCAUAUUUUAUCACCCUGCAGUCUCAUGACCCCUCUUCCCUCCCCUCCCCUCUCUCCUGAUGUUGCUGUGAUGAGAGUUUAUAUUAUCCAGCACACACUGGUUUGUAAGUCUAUUUACAACCCAGGCGUUGUUGGUUUGCGUGAGAGAGAGAGAUGGCCCAUCCCCAGAUUAGUGAAAUUGGAAAUAAAUUGGUUGUUAAAUAAAAGCCCUCUGUGGGAUGUGACAGUGAUGAAUGAGGGAUGGAUGUGCCUGGGGAAGGGAGUGGUGGCUUUCUGGAUUGAGACUGUUUGAAGCUGAAGUGGCCCAGGAGGCUUGGGUGGGAGCCUGGGAAGGGUUUGGGGCCUGAGGACAGAGAAUGGUCAGGCAGUGGUGGGCCCUGAAAUACAUUUAUAGAGGGAAAUUGAAGGCUGAAGACUUGAGCACCCUCUAGAACUAUAUUUUAUUUUCUUGUGGCUCAAAUAGCACUUUUGUGUCUUUGAUUUUAGAAUUUUGCAACAUAUUUUUCUUACUUUACAGAUGGAGGAAACUGUAGUGAAAUCACUUGCCUGUGGUCAUUGUCAAAUAAAAACCAAAUCUGGACUUAGUAAGGAAGGAUUUUAUUUAAAAGGAUUGUUGCAGGGUGGGGAAAGUGAUUAUUGCAGCAGGGAGCUUCUCUGACCCUAAGAUCUGCAGGCAUCCCAAGAGUUAGGCGAACAGGGGUUUUUUUCAUAGACAGGAGUAAACAGGCAAGAAUAAAUGAGGUGUGAGAAGGGGGAUGAAUGGGUGGCCUGAUCCCACAGGAAUCUGAAGACUGUUUCUCUGAGGCCAGACUAUUUUGCAGGCUCGGGCUGAGGGCGGGCCAGAGUUCAGAACCUGGAGGAAGGAGAGAAGUUUCACCAGAGUUUGGUUAACAAGCAUUUUGUUCUUAUUAGUCAGUGGGGACAAGCAUUCAACUAAUCAUUUAUGUGGCAAAGAAAGGGACUGCGGAGGGUCUGUGUCUGGCCUUGGCAUAAGUAAACAAGACGGGGGUGGGGGGUGGGGCACGCAUCUGUGAGUCCUAUCUAAGUUACAAGGAAAGCGUUUUUGUUUUUAUAGGUACACUGUUUUCCAGAAUAAAAAGUUGAGUGCAUUUCCUAACCUUCACUGUUUUCUAGGAUUACAGGGCUCAGAUAAAAGUCAACAUUAUCAUCAUGCAGUUGCACAUUGCAGUGUUAGGGUAACUGAGUCCAAAGCUCACCUCACAGCAGUCAAUAAGUCACGAGACAAGGUGUUGGGGGCAGGAAAGUGACUUUAUCUCAGAGAGCCAGCAAGCCAAGAAGAUGGUGGAAUAAUGCCCUAAAGAACCAUCUUGAAAGGCAUAGACCUGGCCGGGCGCGGUGGCUCAAGCCUGUAAUCCCAGCACUUUGGGAGGCCGAGACGGGCGGAUCACAAGGUCAGGAGAUCGAGACCAUCCUGGCUAACACAGUGAAACCCCGUCUCUACUAAAAAUACAAAAAAAACUUAGCCGGGCGAGGUGGCAGGCGCCUGUAGUCCCAGCUACUCGGGAGGCUGAGGCAGGAGAAUGGCGUGAACCCGGGAGGCGGAGCUUGCAGUGAGCUGAGAUCCGGCCACUGCACUCCAGCCUGGGUGACAGAGCGAGACUCCAUCGCAAAAAAAAAAAAAAAAAAGAAAGGCAUAGACCUUGAGCUUUUUUUCAUAUGGGGAAGGGGGAGCAAGGAGGGUUGGAGGUCAGGAGGUGACAGGUGACCACAGAUAUCUGGGCAUCAACAGUAGUCCAAGGGGUUUGCAUCACUUCUUUGUCCUUGGUCAGGUCACAAUGCUCCUAUAAAUCUUAUUUAUUUAUUUAUUUAUUCAUUUAUUUAUUUAUUUUUGAGACAGGGUCUCGCUCUGUCACCCAGGCUCACUGCAACUUCCACCUCCUGGUCUCAAGCAAUUCUCCCAUCUCAGCCUCCUGAGUAGCUGGGACUACACGUGUGCGCCACCGUCCUCAGUUAAUUUUUUGUAUUUUUAUGUAGAGAUGGGAGUAUCAUCGUGUUGUCCAGGCUGGUCUUCACUGUUGGAUUCAAGCAAUUCUCCUACUCUAGCCUCCCAAAGUGCUAGGAUUAUAGGUGUGAGCCACUGCCUCUGCCCAGCCUCACCUAGAAAUCUUUAGUGUAACAUUAUUACUUGCGUGUGUGCACUUCUUAAUCUCUUUGGAGGUUAGUUUUAGGAAAGAGCUAUUAUCAUCCUUACUUUAAAGUUAAACUAUAAAGUAAAUUCCUCCCAUUUUGACUACCAGCAGAAAUGAGCAAAGACAACCUGUGAGUUUAGAAGCAAGAUGGAGUCAACUGUGUUAGAGUUCUCUCACUGUUAUAUUCGGCCUGGAAUUCAGACUCUGGCCUCCCAGAGACUUAUAUGGUUCUUCAUCCUCUUACCUCUUUCAUAUCUAAACAGUCGUCUUUCUCUCCAUUCUCCUCCUAUUAAAACCUGCUGUCAAGAAUAAAGAAGCCGGCAGCAGCCUAAACUGUCACCCUGCCCAGGGAAAUUUGUGUUUAACUAGGGACCAGAGCUUUAACUUUUAGAAUUGAGAAAGAGAGUCCUUUCCAGGAUUAACUUGUCCUGACUUUCCUUUUCUUUCAUCACUAUCACAGGGUCACUUCUGCCUGAACUUGGGAGGGAUAAUAGAUGAUAAGGAGUUGGUUGAUAACAGGUCACUGAAGCAAAGAAUCUCAGGGCUGAAUGGGAGGAAACUUAGAAUAUCUGGCACAAUCUCCCACUAUGCAGAUGGGAAAAGUGAGGACCAAAUAGGAGAAGGGACAGUAGCCAGGCUUGAUACUAAACAAGGAUCUUCCUAUCUGUUCAUGUUAUGGAGGGAACAAAGGGGGCACACGACUCUCCUCCUCUCCCAUGAGCACCAAGUCCUCCCUUUCCUAACACCCCACCUUCCCGCACAGAGUUCCUGGGUGAACCAGUGGUUAUCAGAUUUUAGCAGGAGUAACAAUCACUCGGUGUGCCGGAUGUGGAUGCCUGCAUAUCUGCUGUCCUCCUAGAUUAUGUAGGAAUGGAUCCCAGUUAUCUGCAUUUUGCCUAGAUUCUGAUGAGGCUGUUUGAGAACCACACAUUUUGGAAACACUGGCAGAGGACAGUGUGAGUCCAAGAAAGGUGAACAGGCCAGGUGCGGUGGCUCACACCUGUAAUUCCACACUUUGGGAGGCCAAGGUGAGCGGAUCACCUGAGGUCAGCAGUUUGAGACCAGCCUGGCCAACAUGGUGAAACCCAUUUCUACUAAAAAUACAAAAAUUAGCCAGGGUGUGGUGGCGCACACCUGUAGUCCUGGCUACUUGGGAGGCUGAGACAGGAGAAUUGCUUGAACUCAGGAGGUGGAGGUUGUGGUGAGCCAAGAUCAUGCCACUGCAUUCCAGCCUGGGCCACAGAGUGAGACUCCGUCUCCAAAAACAAAACAAAACAAAACAAACAACAACAAAAAAACUAAAUGUAGAUAGAAUGUCCUGGAGGCUCGGCCAGCCUGGGCAAUCAAGGACUCUGUGGAUUGAGCAGGGAGCCAGGCAAGCUUGGAGGUUGGCGGGAUGGCGACCUGUAUUUCCCACCUCUAGAAGCUGUUGAUGGGUAGGGCAGCCCUCCUUUCUCCCCUUAUUUCCUCCUCGUACCAUCACAGAGAUGGAGCCUCGGGGAGGGGAGCUGUUCUUCAGCGGAAUUAAAGACUCUUCCCUGAAAGGUAACAAAUUCCUCACUAAUUAUGCCAUUAUUUUAUUAUGCAGCCUUAAUGAAAAAAAAUACACAAAC